AUAAAUAUAAAACUGAGAAAAUGUUUCUCAGGAGCAAAUUAAAGUAAAUGGUCAGGUGAAAGCCCUAACUGAGGAAGGAAAGGGUAGAUUUGUAAUGGGUGAUGGAUUGGUGGCUAGUACAGCUUGUAAAAGUGAACCUGAAAUAGGUAACUGUGAUUUGCUGAAAGUAGCUCAGUGUAGUGAAAAAAGCAGCAGUUUAUCUGUUGGGAGUGGCAAUGUGCCUGGUAGGGAAAGUCUGAAUGAGCCUAGCCAGCCUUGUGAGCUGAUGGCUUUGUCUAGUCAGCAGUUUGGGAAAACAAGGAUAGUGGAAGA
This is a long non-coding RNA of Gopherus evgoodei (Goodes thornscrub tortoise), 312 nucleotides long. RefSeq lists it as uncharacterized. Lineage: Eukaryota; Metazoa; Chordata; Testudines; Testudinidae. The transcript is spliced from 3 exons. The record is from RefSeq and is a predicted model, not a curated record.